This 267-nucleotide ribosomal RNA is filed under the name uncultured prokaryote. Its description in RNAcentral is "partial 16S ribosomal RNA". It matches the Rfam family "Bacterial small subunit ribosomal RNA", at positions 526 to 792 of the family's 1533-position model. The record is from RNAcentral.
CGGAGGAUCCGAGCGUUAUCCGGAUUUAUUGGGUUUAAAGGGUGCGCAGGCGGGAGAUUAAGUCGGCGGUGAAAUUUUGCAGCUCAACUGUAAAAGUGCCUUCGAAACUGGUUUCCUUGAGUGUAGAUGAAGUAGGCGGAAUUUGUGGUGUAGCGGUGAAAUGCAUAGAUAUCACGAGGAACUCCGAUUGCGCAGGCAGCUUACUAAACUACUACUGACGCUCAGGCACGAAGGCGUGGGGAUCAAACAGGAUUAGAUACCCUGGUA